RNAcentral lists this ribosomal RNA (505 nucleotides) under uncultured bacterium. Its description in RNAcentral is "partial 16S ribosomal RNA". It matches the Rfam family "Bacterial small subunit ribosomal RNA", at positions 28 to 507 of the family's 1533-position model. The record is from RNAcentral.
GACGAACGCUGGCGGCGUGCCUAAUACAUGCAAGUAGAACGCACAGUUUAUACCGUAGCUUGCUACACCAUAGACUGUGAGUUGCGAACGGGUGAGUCACGCGUAGGUAACCUGCCUGGUAGCGGGGGAUAACUAUUGGAAACGAUAGCUAAUACCGCAUAAUAUUAAUUAUUGCAUGAUAAUUAAUUGAAAGGUGCAAUUGCACCACUACCAGAUGGACCUGCGUUGUAUUAGCUAGUAGGUGAGGUAACGGCUCACCUAGGCGACGAUACAUAGCCGACCUGAGAGGGUGAACGGCCACACUGGGACUGAGACACGGCCCAGACUCCUACGGGAGGCAGCAGGAGGGAAACUUCGGCAAUGGACGAAAGUCUGACCGAGCAACGCCGCGGGAGUGAAGAAGGGUUUCGGAUCGUAAAGCUCUGUUGUAAGAGAAGAACGGGUGGGAGAGUGGAAAGUUCACACUGUGACGGUAUCUUACCAGAAAGGGACGGCUAACUACGUG